Long non-coding RNA from Xenopus laevis (African clawed frog), 1507 nucleotides. RefSeq lists it as uncharacterized. The record is from RefSeq and is a predicted model, not a curated record. The transcript has 3 exons. NCBI's taxonomy places the organism in Eukaryota, Metazoa, Chordata, Amphibia, Anura, Pipidae.
AUUUCUCACUUCUGCUGUUUUCAUGACUGUGACUCUCUUUCCCAGAAGCCUCUGGGAAAGCCUUAUUAACCCUCACUCUGCCAUUUAUUUUUUAUGCCCCCUUUCCUGCCUCGCUAAUCUCUCUUCCUUAUGCCUCCCAUCUCCUUGCUCGUGUCUUGGCUCUUCAUGUCAGGCUGAUAUUUGGUUGCACCUUCCUGUUUUUAACACUUCCUUCUCUAAUUUCUCUUGUUUCUGAUUGUUUCCACCCACGGACCCUGCCGAGUGCAAAGAAAGCUGAGGAUCUUGUGCAGUCGUGCACUUCUGUACAUACGACAGGAUAUUGGUGUUAAAAUAGCUUUCAGCACCUUCUUCUGGAGACAGCACCCAUGCCUGUGCGGGGCACCCCUAGCUUAUUGCUAUUGCAGCCCUUGGUGUAGUGGACAGGUCUGUGCCUUGGAUUCAAUUGGAUGGAGGACACAAUCAAGGUACUUGCCCCUCUCAUGGGAGGUGUACUCUGGGUGUUGGCUGAGAGAUGCUGCAUCUGGAACCCAAUCAGUCUUCUGCAACCCUAGAACAGAAUUGGGCCCUUCGUCCAUCGCCCCGGGCCCCUCAUCAUAGGACAGGAGAUUUCGGGAGCGGACUGAAAAACAAACAGAAAAGACCAUCAAGUGGCACCAACGGGUCCAAUGUCUAUAAACAAGAAGCAGCCACUUCCCCAAACUCCAGCAAACCUCCCGGAGACAAUACAUGCAGGGGACAGUCAGCAGAGAAGUAAAAGACUUACUUAGGCUGUGGGUAUAUAGGUCGGGUGUCAGCAGAGGAGCUGAUUUCACCGUCUGGGACCCUGAAGAAAAUUCUGGAAAGGAAGGGAUCAAGGACCCAAAAGCAAGAACAAAACACAGCACCAUCACCUGUAGGGAAGAGACAUUCCAUAGAAUGUUACACGUGGGAAACAAUUGGUCUCCAUCUGUAUGUUACACCCACAGAAUUGGUCUCCAUCUAUAUGGUGCCCACCCAGGAUUGGUCUGAGUCUAUAUCACACUCAUAGAAGAUUGGUCUUCAUCUGCCUCAUAUCCAUACAGAUUUUGUCUUCAUCUCACACAUAUCUGGUCUACAUUUGUCUCACCCACGCACAGGAUUGGUCAGCCUCUAUCUCCAUGUAGGACUGGUCUCCAUCUAUCUCCCACCGACACAGAAUUGGCCUCCAUCAGUUUCUCAUCAACACAAGAAUGAUCUCCAGUUGUCUCACACCCACAAACUAUUAGUCUCCAUCUGUCUCAUGUUCAGACAAGACUGGUUUCCAUGAUCCAUCAAACUCCACACAGAGGAUUGUGUCUCUGUUCCUCAAAAGGUCUCAGGCUUUGGCCCACAACAUUGGUCUCUGUCUCAACAUCACCAUAUGCUAUCUCAGGAUUGUCCUCCAUCUGUGAAUUAGUGAAUGGAUCGCAUGGGGGGGCCCACCACAUCUACAGCCCAAUAAAGUUCUCAUCUGAGAGAGAAUUUUGCAAUUUUCUUGGUUCAGACCUGA